This 829-nucleotide ribosomal RNA is filed under the name Candida albicans. Its description in RNAcentral is "LSU rRNA". It matches the Rfam family "Eukaryotic large subunit ribosomal RNA", at positions 74 to 921 of the family's 3401-position model. Lineage: Eukaryota; Fungi; Ascomycota; Pichiomycetes; Serinales; Debaryomycetaceae. The record is from RNAcentral.
AUUGCCUCAGUAGCGGCGAGUGAAGCGGCAAAAGCUCAAAUUUGAAAUCUGGCGUCUUUGGCGUCCGAGUUGUAAUUUGAAGAAGGUAUCUUUGGGCCCGGCUCUUGUCUAUGUUCCUUGGAACAGGACGUCACAGAGGGUGAGAAUCCCGUGCGAUGAGAUGACCCGGGUCUGUGUAAAGUUCCUUCGACGAGUCGAGUUGUUUGGGAAUGCAGCUCUAAGUGGGUGGUAAAUUCCAUCUAAAGCUAAAUAUUGGCGAGAGACCGAUAGCGAACAAGUACAGUGAUGGAAAGAUGAAAAGAACUUUGAAAAGAGAGUGAAAAAGUACGUGAAAUUGUUGAAAGGGAAGGGCUUGAGAUCAGACUUGGUAUUUUGCAUGUUGCUCUCUCGGGGGCGGCCGCUGCGGUUUACCGGGCCAGCAUCGGUUUGGAGCGGCAGGAUAAUGGCGGAGGAAUGUGGCACGGCUUCUGCUGUGUGUUAUAGCCUCUGACGAUACUGCCAGCCUAGACCGAGGACUGCGGUUUUUACCUAGGAUGUUGGCAUAAUGAUCUUAAGUCGCCCGUCUUGAAACACGGACCAAGGAGUCUAACGUCUAUGCGAGUGUUUGGGUGUAAAACCCGUACGCGUAAUGAAAGUGAACGAAGGUGGGGGCCCAUUAGGGUGCACCAUCGACCGAUCCUGAUGUGUUCGGAUGGAUUUGAGUAAGAGCAUAGCUGUUGGGACCCGAAAGAUGGUGAACUAUGCCUGAAUAGGGUGAAGCCAGAGGAAACUCUGGUGGAGGCUCGUAGCGGUUCUGACGUGCAAAUCGAUCGUCGAAUUUGGGUAUAGG